This 465-nucleotide ribosomal RNA is filed under the name Vreelandella stevensii. RNAcentral describes it as "partial 16S ribosomal RNA". It matches the Rfam family "Bacterial small subunit ribosomal RNA", at positions 338 to 795 of the family's 1533-position model. The record is from RNAcentral. Lineage: Bacteria; Pseudomonadati; Pseudomonadota; Gammaproteobacteria; Oceanospirillales; Halomonadaceae.
CCUACGGGAGGCUGCAGUGGGGAAUAUUGGACAAUGGGCGAAAGCCUGAUCCAGCCAUGCCGCGUGUGUGAAGAAGGCCUUCGGGUUGUAAAGCACUUUCAGUGGGGAAGAAAGCCUUGGGGCUAAUACCCUCGAGGAAGGACAUCACCCACAGAAGAAGCACCGGCUAACUCCGUGCCAGCAGCCGCGGUAAUACGGAGGGUGCGAGCGUUAAUCGGAAUUACUGGGCGUAAAGCGCGCGUAGGCGGUCUGAUAAGCCGGUUGUGAAAGCCCCGGGCUCAACCUGGGAACGGCAUCCGGAACUGUCAGGCUAGAGUGCAGGAGAGGAAGGUAGAAUUCCCGGUGUAGCGGUGAAAUGCGUAGAGAUCGGGAGGAAUACCAGUGGCGAAGGCGGCCAUCUGGACUGACACUGACGCUGAGGUGCGAAAGCGUGGGUAGCAAACAGGAUUAGAUACCCCAGUAGUC